Molecule: ribosomal RNA, 430 nt
Filed under: uncultured bacterium
Lineage: Bacteria
Description: bacterial SSU rRNA
Rfam family: Archaeal small subunit ribosomal RNA
Source: RNAcentral
GCGAGAAAACUUUGCAAUGUGCGAAAGCACGACAAGGUUAAUCCGAGUGGUUUCUGCUAAAGAAACCUUUUGUCAGUCCUAGAAACACUAACGAAUAAGGGGUGGGCAAGUUCUGGUGUCAGCCGCCGCGGUAAAACCAGCACCUCAAGUGGUCAGGAUGAUUAUUGGGCCUAAAGCAUCCGUAGCCCGUUUUGUAAGUUUUCGGUUAAAUCCAUGCGCUUAACGUAUGGGCUGCCGGGAAUACUGCAUAACUAGGAAGUGGGAGAGGUAGACGGUACUCGGUAGGAAGGGGUAAAAUCCUUUGAUCUAUUGAUGACCACCUGUGGCGAAGGCGGUCUACCAGAACACGUUCGACGGUGAGGGAUGAAAGCUGGGGGAGCAAACCGGAUUAGAUACCCAAGUAGUCCCUGAGCGGGCUGGCAAGGCGCAU